RNAcentral lists this ribosomal RNA (339 nucleotides) under Cronobacter sakazakii. RNAcentral describes it as "bacterial SSU rRNA". It matches the Rfam family "Bacterial small subunit ribosomal RNA", at positions 1 to 336 of the family's 1533-position model. Lineage: Bacteria; Pseudomonadati; Pseudomonadota; Gammaproteobacteria; Enterobacterales; Enterobacteriaceae. The record is from RNAcentral.
UAAUUGAAGAGUUUGAUCAUGGCUCAGAUUGAACGCUGGCGGCAGGCCUAACACAUGCAAGUCGAACGGUAACAGGGAGCAGCUUGCUGCUCUGCUGACGAGUGGCGGACGGGUGAGUAAUGUCUGGGAAACUGCCUGAUGGAGGGGGAUAACUACUGGAAACGGUAGCUAAUACCGCAUAACGUCUUCGGACCAAAGUGGGGGACCUUCGGGCCUCAUGCCAUCAGAUGUGCCCAGAUGGGAUUAGCUAGUAGGUGGGGUAACGGCUCACCUAGGCGACGAUCCCUAGCUGGUCUGAGAGGAUGACCAGCCACACUGGAACUGAGACACGGUCCAGAC